AACGAACGCUGGCGGCAGGCUUAACACAUGCAAGUCGAACGCACUCUCCGGGAGUGAGUGGCGGACGGGUGAGUAACGCGUGGGAAUCUACCCAGCCCUUCGGAAUAGCUCCGGGGAAACUGGAAUUAAUACCGAGUACGCCCUACGGGGAAAGAGUUAUCGGGUUGGAUGAGCCCGCGUUGGAGUUAGCUAGUUGGUGGGGUAAUGGCCUACCAAGGCGACGAUCCAUAGCUGGUCUGAGAGGAUGAUCAGCCACACUGGGACUGAGACACGGCCCAGACUCCUACGGGAGGGCAGCAGUGGGGGAAUAUUGGACAAUGGGCGAAAGCCUGAUCCAGCCAUGCCGCGUGAGUGAUGAAGGCCUUAGGGUUGUAAAGCUCUUUCAGUGGGAAGGAUAAUGACGGUACCCACAGAAGAAGCCCCGCUAACUUCGUGCCAGCAGCAGCCGCGGUAAU
RNAcentral lists this ribosomal RNA (455 nucleotides) under uncultured bacterium. RNAcentral's name for it is "bacterial SSU rRNA". It matches the Rfam family "Bacterial small subunit ribosomal RNA", at positions 29 to 524 of the family's 1533-position model. The record is from RNAcentral.